This 1292-nucleotide unclassified non-coding RNA is filed under the name Nilaparvata lugens (brown planthopper). RNAcentral's name for it is "tHAP domain-containing protein 1-like, transcript variant X1". The record is from RNAcentral. Lineage: Eukaryota; Metazoa; Arthropoda; Insecta; Hemiptera; Delphacidae.
UAUCUUAGCUCGUUGGUGUGUACUGGUGUGUGACGUCACCUUGUGGCACAACUUGGAUUUCCAAAUGAUGCUGUCCUCAGAAAGAAAUGGAUUGUGGCACUGCGCAGGGAUGGUUUCAAUCCGUCUAAAGUAACUAAAAUCUGUUCAAACCAUUUUACAUCAGAUUGCUUCCGUAAUAGUGGAUGGAGUUCUCUCCGAAUUUUAAAUGAAGAUGCUGUCCCUACAAUCUUCGACUUUUCUGAUCAUUCAAAAUCUGGCAAAAGAGGGAAGCGCCUAAAAAGAUUGAAUGUGCAAUGUUGUGUUCUUGGAUGCGAGGCGGUCAAGACAGACAUUGACCACGGUUCUGGCUUACGCUUCUUCGCAUUUCCAGAGGAGAGAACUGUGAAAAAUCGUUGGAUUGAAGCCAUCCAAAGAAAGGACUUCGACCCUAAUGUGCACAAAGCUGUUUGCAGUCAGCACUUUGUUGAAAGUGAUUAUGUUAUCCAACAAGGCUCAGACGAAAAAAGAUUAAAAGUGAGAGCUGUUCCAUCCAUUUUCCCCUUACAACGCCAACCAAGAAUGGGAGGAGCAGAAGACGAUGUAUUUAAUAUUAUUUACGACAUGAAUCCAGCAGAUUAUGAUACUUCCGAUCAGGACCAAGAUUUUGAAGUACCUGAGAUAAUAAGUGAUGACUGUAUUAUUUCUCAAGCAUCAGAGACAAUAAGUGAGGACUAUAGUAUGUGUCAAGCACCAGAGACAAGAAGUCAAGACAAUAUUCAACUAUCAAAAAAUCAGUUCAAAUUAGUCGGAAAGACCAGAGACCAGGGGACUCAAACUUCUUGCAAGGAUUCGGCUAAAUUAAAAUUAUAUCGUUGUAAAGUGAAAUCAUUGCUUCAAAGUGUACGGAGAAAAGAUAGAAGGAUUAAACAAAUGGAAGAAGAGAUUGCUCUUAUGAAAGAGAAGAUCAAAUCCUUCAAACUCAGUAAUUUGAAAUUGCAGGCAUUAAAUAAUAUGGAGUAACAAAUAUUUUUGGAGCUCUCCAGAUUACAUUCUAAUAAAAAGCCUUGCUCGUUCAAGUAAUCUACAUUAUAUUUCCUGAAAAAAUAUCACAAUCGAUAUUUUUAUUCUGUGAUGGACAAUCGACAAAUAAUUUGUUUUCGAAGGAAAAUAGAUUAGUGCUACUUUCAAUUGUAAAACAACGUUUUUUAAUACUCCCAAACUCAUUUUUAUUCAUAAUUCCCAAGAUGCCAAAUUCACAGAGUUUGGAAGUAUUUAUGAUCUCAAAAUUAGUGAAACCUAUAUUUUUACGUAAA